CAAGUCAUGGGGGCCCAGCAAUGGGCAACCGGCGAACGGGUGCGUAACACGUGAGCAACCUACCCAGGUGUGGGGGAUAGCCGUCCCAACGGACGGGUAAUACCGCAUACGCUCAACACGAGGCAUUUCGAGUUGAGGAAACCUUCGGGGCACCAUGAGGGGCUCGCGGCCUAUCAGCUAGUUGGCGAGGUAACGGCUCACCAAGGCUACGACGGGUAGCUGGUCUGAGAGGAUGACCAGCCACAUUGGGACUGAGAAACGGCCCAGACUCCUACGGGAGGCAGCAGUGGGGAAUCUUGCGCAAUGGCCUAACGGCUGACGCAGCGACGCCGCGUGAGGGAUGACGCUCUUCGGAGUGUAAACCUCUUUUGCCUGGAACGAACUGUCAGCUUCAGCUGACUUGACGGUACCGGGUGAAUAAGCACCGGCUAACUCCGUGCCAGCAGCCGCGGUAAUACGGGGGGUGCGAGCGUUGUCCGGAAUCACUGGGCGUAAAGGGCGCGUAGGUGGCGUGAUAAGGGUGUGGUGAAAGCCCGGGGCUCAACCCCGGGUCUGCCAUGCCGACUGUCAGGCUAGAGUACUGUAGGGGCAGGCGGAAUUCCGGGUGUAGCGGUGGAAUGCGUAGAGAUCCGGAGGAAGACCGGUGGCGAAGGCGGCCUGCUGGGCAGUUACUGACACUGAGGCGCGACAGCGUGGGGAGCAAACAGGAUUAGAUACCCUGGUAGUCCACGCCGUAAACGAUGGGUACUAGGUGCCUGGGGGAGCGACCCCUUGGGUGCCGGCGCUAACGCAGGAAGUA
This 799-nucleotide ribosomal RNA is filed under the name uncultured Gemmatimonadota bacterium. RNAcentral's name for it is "bacterial SSU rRNA". It matches the Rfam family "Bacterial small subunit ribosomal RNA", at positions 58 to 866 of the family's 1533-position model. Lineage: Bacteria; Pseudomonadati; Gemmatimonadota. The record is from RNAcentral.